AUUGAACGCUGGCGGCAGGCCUAACACAUGCAAGUCGAGCGGAUGAAGGGAGCUUGCUCCUGGAUUCAGCGGCGGACGGGUGAGUAAUGCCUAGGAAUCUGCCUGGUAGUGGGGGAUAACGUCCGGAAACGGGCGCUAAUACCGCAUACGUCCUGAGGGAGAAAGUGGGGGAUCUUCGGACCUCACGCUAUCAGAUGAGCCUAGGUCGGAUUAGCUAGUUGGUGGGGUAAAGGCCUACCAAGGCGACGAUCCGUAACUGGUCUGAGAGGAUGAUCAGUCACACUGGAACUGAGACACGGUCCAGACUCCUACGGGAGGCAGCAGUGGGGAAUAUUGGACAAUGGGCGAAAGCCUGAUCCAGCCAUGCCGCGUGUGUAAAGAAGGUCUUCGGAUUGUAAAGCACUUUAAGUUGGGAGGAAGGGCAGUAAGUUAAUACCUUGCUGUUUUGACGUUACCAACAGAAUAAGCACUGGCUAACUUCGUG
RNAcentral lists this ribosomal RNA (484 nucleotides) under uncultured bacterium. RNAcentral describes it as "partial 16S ribosomal RNA". It matches the Rfam family "Bacterial small subunit ribosomal RNA", at positions 30 to 507 of the family's 1533-position model. The record is from RNAcentral.